RNAcentral lists this ribosomal RNA (241 nucleotides) under Pseudo-nitzschia pungens. Its description in RNAcentral is "partial Bacterial small subunit ribosomal RNA". It matches the Rfam family "Bacterial small subunit ribosomal RNA", at positions 536 to 776 of the family's 1533-position model. Lineage: Eukaryota; Bacillariophyta; Bacillariophyceae; Bacillariales; Bacillariaceae. The record is from RNAcentral.
UAGCGUUGUUCGGAAUUACUGGGCGUAAAGCGUACGUAGGCGGAUUGGAAAGUUGGGGGUGAAAUCCCAGGGCUCAACCCUGGAACUGCCUCCAAAACUAUCAGUCUAGAGUUCGAGAGAGGUGAGUGGAAUUCCAAGUGUAGAGGUGAAAUUCGUAGAUAUUUGGAGGAACACCAGUGGCGAAGGCGGCUCACUGGCUCGAUACUGACGCUGAGGUGCGAAAGCGUGGGUAGCAAACAGG